Molecule: ribosomal RNA, 537 nt
Filed under: uncultured Gemmatimonadota bacterium
Lineage: Bacteria; Pseudomonadati; Gemmatimonadota
Description: SSU rRNA
Rfam family: Bacterial small subunit ribosomal RNA
Source: RNAcentral
AAGGCUGACGCAGCGACGCCGCGUGUGGGAGGAAGCUCUUCGGGGUGUAAACCACUGUUGCCCGGGACGAACAUGGUCUUUCGAGGCCACUGACGGUACCGGGUGAGGAAGCACCGGCUAAUUCUGUGCCAGCAGCCGCGGUAAUACAGAGGGUGCGAGCGUUGUCCGGAAUCACUGGGCGUAAAGGGCGCGUAGGCGGCCUGGUAAGGUUGCGGUGAAAGCCCGGGGCUCAACCCCGGGUCGGCCGUGGCAACUGCUGGGCUGGAGCACUGUAGAGGCAGGUGGAAUUCCGGGUGUAGCGGUGGAAUGCGUAGAGAUCCGGAAGAACACCGGUGGCGAAGGCGGCCUGCUGGGCAGUGGCUGACGCUGAGGCGCGACAGCGUGGGGAGCAAACAGGAUUAGAUACCCUGGUAGUCCACGCCGUAAACGAUGGGCACUAGGUGCUUGGGGGAGCGACCCUCCGAGUGCCGUCGCUAACGCAUUAAGUGCCCCGCCUGGGGAGUACGGCCGCAAGGCUGAAACUCAAAGGAAUUGACG